This is a regulatory RNA element of Clostridium perfringens str. 13, 110 nucleotides long. It matches the Rfam family "TPP riboswitch aptamer (THI element)". From Rfam's summary of the family: Vitamin B(1) in its active form thiamin pyrophosphate (TPP) is an essential coenzyme that is synthesised by coupling of pyrimidine and thiazole moieties in bacteria. The record is from Rfam. Lineage: Bacteria; Bacillati; Bacillota; Clostridia; Eubacteriales; Clostridiaceae.
AAAAAUAGCUAGGGGGGCCAGUAGUGUCUGGCUGAGAUUAGAAAUGAAAUUUCUUGACCCUUUAACCUGAUCUGGUUAAUACCAGCGUAGGGAAGCCCAAGAGACAAAUA